AACUACCGCCUCCUGGCCAAAUCCAGCCCGGGGCCUCUUUUAUGUGAAAAGUUUGUUGUCCCCCGACAUAGAACAUACGAUCAGUGGUAUCACCUACCUUGACCGAUGUCUUUAGAACACUAAACAGGAGAUGUGAAUUUCACAUGUGUGUCCACUACACAUUCUUUUCAAGUACAAGUAUGUUCGCCAAGAUAAAGCAUUUUCUGAGCCACGGACCAAUCCUCAACACAUUUCAACGUCCAGGAUUGAAAUUUAACCCGGUACGUCUCUGACCAGCCUUGCCUUGUUCUUGAUUCUAGAGGGAAAGCUUUCAACCUCUCACUGUUGCGUAUGAUGUCAGCUGUGGGUUUUGUCGUUAUGUGGGCUUUGUGGUAUUGAGCUAUACAACUUCUCUGCCCCCAUUCGUGGAGGGUUUUUAUCAUGGAAAUAUGUUCUAUUUUGUCAAAUGCGUUUUCUGCACCUAGGGAGAUGAUCAUAUGGUUUUUAUCUUUCAUUCUAACGAUGCGGUGCUUCGUUUAUAGACAGGCAUGUGUUGAAAGAUCCUUGUUUUCCGGCUGCAGGUUCCUCCCGCCCGUGCCUGGAGAUGAGAGCUGCCUGCCCCGUAGACAGUGACAAAGAACAGGGCAGACACAGACAGUCCGAGGCUCAGGCUGAGGCGCUCCCUGGUGACGUUGCUCAUUGAAAUGCUUCCACCAGCCACAGGCCGCUCUAGACACUGGCCACCUUCUUGCUGUGACACCUGCCUCCAGGACAAGGCAGCUGUGCCUUUACUUUCCUCACUUGUCCCGAGGACCUAUUCGGAGACGCUCAGGACCCUUGUCAGGACUUUAGGGAAGCAAGCAGCAGCGUAAUAAACUGGAAAAACACUUUGGGGAAGGAUGAGACAUGUGAGAGCCAACCACAAGGAGCUCUGAGAGUUGUGGGUUCGGAACCUCAGGGAAUGAGGCCUCUGAUGACACGGGAGUAUAGAAUGGGCAGUGGGGCCGACCCAGCCAGCUGUCCCAGCGCUCUUCUCCACAGAUCUGAAUCAAGGCCGAUAAGCCACAAAGUCCUACUCUGCAGCUCCUCCGGAAUUGACCUUGUCCCUGGUCACCUGCCACCACCCUCUCCCUGGACCGUUCUAGAACUAACACAGUCAGGAUGCUGCCGUUCACAUGGAGCUCCUUCCGAAC
Molecule: long non-coding RNA, 1172 nt
Organism: Leopardus geoffroyi (Geoffroy's cat)
Lineage: Eukaryota; Metazoa; Chordata; Mammalia; Carnivora; Felidae
Exons: 3
Source: RefSeq, a predicted model, not a curated record